UACGUAGGGGGCAAGCGUUGUCCGGAAUCAUUGGGCGUAAAGAGCGUGUAGGCGGCCCGAUAAGUCCGCUGUGAAAGUCCAGGGCUCAACCCUGGAAUGCCGGUGGAUACUGUCGGGCUCGAGUUCGGAAGAGGUGAGUGGAAUUCCUGGUGUAGCGGUGAAAUGCGCAGAUAUCAGGAGGAACACCAAUUGCGAAGGCAGCUCGCUGGGACGUUACUGACGCUGAGACGCGAAAGCGUGGGGAGCAAACAGG
This 253-nucleotide ribosomal RNA is filed under the name uncultured bacterium. RNAcentral describes it as "partial 16S ribosomal RNA". It matches the Rfam family "Bacterial small subunit ribosomal RNA", at positions 524 to 776 of the family's 1533-position model. The record is from RNAcentral.